RNAcentral lists this ribosomal RNA (517 nucleotides) under Henosepilachna kabakovi. RNAcentral's name for it is "partial 16S ribosomal RNA". The stretch from base 380 to 517 matches the Rfam family "Bacterial large subunit ribosomal RNA", at positions 2473 to 2612 of the family's 2925-position model. Lineage: Eukaryota; Metazoa; Arthropoda; Insecta; Coleoptera; Coccinellidae. The record is from RNAcentral.
CUCUUUUUGAUUUUAAUUUAAAGUUUGGCCUGCCCACUGAAAUUUGAAGGGCCGCAGUAUUUUGACUGUGCAAAGGUAGCAUAAUCAUUAGUUUUUUAAUUGAAAGCUUGUAUGAAUGGUUUGAUGAGAAAAUUACUGUUUCAAUUUUAUUAAUAGAAUUUUAUUUUUAAGUUAAAAAGCUUAAAUAAGGUUUAAAGACGAGAAGACCCUAUAGAGUUUAACUAAAAAUUAAAUUAUAAAAUUUAGAAAUUUAAUUUUUUUAAUUUAAUUUGAGUUUUGUUGGGGUGAUAGAAAAAUUAAAUUAACUUUUUUUUUAUAAUUACAAUAAUAAUUGAAUUAUUGAUCCAAAAAAAUGAUUAUAAGAUUAAAUUACCUUAGGGAUAACAGCGUAAUCUUUUUAAUAGUUCUUAUUGAAAAAAAGGUUUGCGACCUCGAUGUUGGAUUAAAAUUUAUUUUUGGUGUAGAAGCUAAAAUAUUAGGUCUGUUCGACCUUUAAAAUUUUACAUGAUCUGAGUUU